RNAcentral lists this long non-coding RNA (3143 nucleotides) under Triticum aestivum (bread wheat). RNAcentral's name for it is "long non-coding RNA (TAES_LNC000236)". Lineage: Eukaryota; Viridiplantae; Streptophyta; Magnoliopsida; Poales; Poaceae. The record is from RNAcentral.
ACAUAGAUUAAAUUAUCUCCACCGUUAAUAUUAAAAGGCAACGGCUGAGAUUUAAAGGAUUUCAAAGUUACAUACAACUAUUGCUAGGUACAAAUAAUUUGUUUGCCACGCAUGGCUGACAAGCCUCCUAAACAUGCCUUUUCAAUUAUGUGUCCGAGACAACCACGAAUACCUGCCAAAUAAAGAGAGUACACCAAAUAAAGAGAGUACACGAUAUGGAUUCUACUGCACACAAUUAUUACAAAUCGGAACGCGUGCACGCAAAUUUACACACGGACUCAAUCGGCUAACACUAGCAAAUAAAGACACCCAGUUGGCCACGUCCAGCAACGCCCAGGAAGCCAAAUCUUUUUUUUGUUUUAGCAUGGACUACAAGGACACGGAUCGGGCACAAUCUAUCCAUCUUGCUCCAUGUGAGGCUGAACAACAUAACAAAGUGGGAUGGAUGCAAUAACGGCAUGAUGGAUGGCGUCUGAGAGCAUCACAAACACCAUAACAAAAGUGUGAUGGAUGCAAUUAGGGCAGGAUCGGAAGGCGUCAGAGAGCGUUGCACUGGACAAAGUUCCUCCGUAUGCUUUCUCCGUGCAUAAAUCAGCCAAAGCGGUGACAACGUGUCUCGACACCGACCAAACCUUCUGAGUUGCCUCUCCUAAAUCAUCAAGGUUCGUAAAUAUCAAUUACUUGAUUCACUUACUCAGGAUAAAAUCUAUGAGAUAUUAUCAAUUGACAAACAAUUUUCGAAUGCUUUUGUAGCCAAAACACCAUGGCGUAUAAGAAUCGGAGUGCCUUAACCGAUGAGCAUAUGAGCUUCGGUGGAUCAAAAAAUAUAUUAUAUAUUUACAUGCAGAUUGUUCCGUUGUUUUGAACAAGAACUAAUAUAUUGUAACUAUUUGAUAGGGCCAAACAAUGCAUGUUACUGUGAGAAUUAAAACUCAUGAUACUAUAAAUGUGGAGUUUGAUACACAAUUAUUGAUCAAAUAAGAAUGAGAAACCUGUUUAUGCAUUAUCAUUUUAAAAUUGUGGAAGCCACAAAGUAUCACCUGUCGACCAAUGAAAUACAGAGGUAAGGAUCAUCGGAAAUUUUUUCCUGAUUACUACUUCCAGUUUGCUUCCAAGGACACACUACAAGAACAUGCAGGGAAAGAUAAACAAUGCUCAUACUUUAUAGUUCUAAAUAAGACUCAACUAAUUAAUCUUUCUCGCUAUGAAGUAACUAAUCGCCAAUUAUACAGAUGUCAUUACUCACCCAAAUGAAGCAUGUGGAAUCAAGAAUAACAGAGUAAGUGAAUAAUGCAUAACCACAUACUUUAAUUGGACUUCCAUCAUUGCAUUAUCAUUAAAUUUUCCAGCUUAAACAUACUUUAAUUGGACUUCCAUCAUUGCAUUAUCAUUAAAUUUUCCAGCUUAAACUUUUCAUGAGUGAUAAAAUCAGAAUUACACUAUAGGGAAAUUCUACUUUAUAUUUUGAAUGAGGAUGUAAUCGACAUCCAAACUAUCCUUAUUGUGACAUCAACAACCGUGCAGAAGUUUUAAUAGUACGUCCAACAAAGUCACAACAUCUUCUGUCAUUUACAAAAAAAUAACAGAUUUCCAUGAUUAAAGAGGAUUGUGCCUAAAGUCAACCACUGCCGCAAAUGUAUACAUAUCUAGAUACACCCGCGACUCAGGAACCUCUUGAAAGGUAUGGAACACUAUCUUGUAUUAUUUAUCAACUAAUGAAUCAUGACUCAUGUUUAUUAACCAAUGUAAAAUAAUAAUUAUACUUGACUAACUCCAUAUAUGCAGACACUCACCAGAAGAAACUUCACCAAAAAUGAUCGAGAUAGAUAGAAGUACACAAGGUACACUAGAAGAACAAGUGUCUUACAGAACUCACUGGAAUGACGCAUGGAAACUAAGCAAAUCAGGCAGUCAUCAAACUUCUUCUAAGAUAUGACAUCACCACUUUUCAAGAAAAACAAGACUCUAAGACCUGCAGGGACAGUGAGCUAUAUCAGUUAUAAGCUUAUAAUGGAGCCAUAUUUGACUUAUUAAUGUAUGUCAACUUCUUCAGAUUGAUAACUUUGAUUUUGUGGGUAAUUUAUUUAAAUUUUGCAUUCAUGGCAAUAGCUACAAUAGAUCUGUUGCAAGAAAAUAUUUGAUGUUGGUAUAUGUCAUGUGAUGAUUGUUUUCUGCAGCAAUAACAAUGCUAUGGUAGGCAUAGUAUUCGACUCCAAAUUAGUGGAUGUACAACUACUACAAGCUGCAGUUCCUUUAACGAGGGUGGCAAAAAGUUGCUUAAUACAUUUGUCUUGAACUUGAUGAACUCAUUGGAUGGAAAAUCUGAAGAAGAGCAGAAGAUUAUACGAUAAUUAUGCUGAAAACAAGAGAAACUAUUUGUAUUAACUGAUAUAGAGUAAGAAUACUUGACAAUCCAUUAAUAUAAGGAGGACUUAUUAGGUAACAACGGUUUAUUUAUUUAUUUUCGAACGCGGAGGUGAAAGGCCUCAGUCGAUAAAUUAAGCAGAAAAGAAUUACCCAGUUAAUUAGCGGAAAACUGGGCGAAUACCAUGAUAACAACGGUAUAACAUUACCACUAUCAGAAGCAUGCCAUAUUGUAAUUAUUUAAAUACAUUCAGACAUGCACUUUUGUGAGUUUUAUAUUCUUGGUAAAAUCAAUUACAUGAACCAACAUUUCAGUUACUACAUGUAAGCUGUCCUGCUUUGUCUUAAUACACAUACAAGUAAUAUAACUUGCUAAUAUAUGGUAACAAGAAAUAAAAAUACAUGUGAACAAUCAGCCACUAUGGAGGAACUAGGAAUGAUUUAAAGCCGUAGCACAUUACAUAGGUGGAAGCUGACAGCACCAGCAAUGAGGAAGCCCAUAGCUCGCCUCAACCUGCAGACUCUCUGUAAAUGCAAAGAGACCAAUCACAAAUGUAUAUUACUACUUUUUAAAACUGCUUUCAUGUGUAUAUAUGGUAAUAAGAGCGAACAAGACUUAUAAUAUUGGCUUUACGUAGUAGAUGGAUAUAAUGAGUAUAGUUUUGCUGUAUGAAGGUCCAUAUAAUCAUUAUGGAGGAGUUGAAGAGAUAAUAAUCAAAAUUUAGGUAGAAUGUCAACAUAAAAAAGAUCAUGCUCAAUUCCCUAAACAAACAUAAGGC